UCUCCGUUGGUGAACCAGCGGAGGGAUCAUUACAGGACUCGCAAGACUCCUUCACCCUGUGAACCUCACUACAAGCACGUUGCUUCGGCGGGUGUCCCGGCGGGGGUUUUCCCUCGCCGGGGCGCACAGCCCGCCAGCAGCCUACUAUACUCUGUCUCUUUGCGUUGGCAUCUCGAGAAAAAACAAACAAGUUAAAACUUUCAACAACGGAUCUCUUGGUUCUG
RNAcentral lists this unclassified non-coding RNA (224 nucleotides) under plant metagenome. Its description in RNAcentral is "partial contains small subunit ribosomal RNA, internal transcribed spacer 1, and 5.8S ribosomal RNA". The record is from RNAcentral.